This 462-nucleotide ribosomal RNA is filed under the name uncultured bacterium. Its description in RNAcentral is "bacterial SSU rRNA". It matches the Rfam family "Bacterial small subunit ribosomal RNA", at positions 335 to 788 of the family's 1533-position model. The record is from RNAcentral.
ACUCCUACGGGAGGCAGCAGUGGGGAAUAUUGGACAAUGGGCGAAAGCCUGAUCCAGCCAUGCCGCGUGUGUGAAGAAGGUCUUCGGAUUGUAAAGCACUUUAAGUUGGGAGGAAGGGCAGUUACCUAAUACGUGAUUGUUUUGACGUUACCGACAGAAUAAGCACCGGCUAACUCUGUGCCAGCAGCCGCGGUAAUACAGAGGGUGCAAGCGUUAAUCGGAAUUACUGGGCGUAAAGCGCGCGUAGGUGGUUAGUUAAGUUGGAUGUGAAAUCCCCGGGGCUCAACCUGGGAACUGCAUUCAAAACUGACUGACUAGAGUAUGGUAGAGGGUGGUGGAAUUUCCUGUGUAGCGGUGAAAUGCGUAGAUAUAGGAAGGAACACCAGUGGCGAAGGCGACCACCUGGACUGAUACUGACACUGAGGUGCGAAAGCGUGGGGAGCAAACAGGAUUAGAUACCCU